UGGAACUGAGACACGGUCCAGACUCCUACGGGAGGCAGCAGUGGGGAAUAUUGCACAAUGGGCGAAAGCCUGAUGCAGCCAUGCCGCGUGUAUGAAGAAGGCCUUCGGGUUGUAAAGUACUUUCAGUUGUGAGGAAGGGGGUGUCGUUAAUAGCGGCAUCUCUUGACGUUAGCAACAGAAGAAGCACCGGCUAACUCCGUGCCAGCAGCCGCGGUAAUACGGAGGGUGCGAGCGUUAAUCGGAAUUACUGGGCGUAAAGCGCAUGCAGGUGGUUCAUUAAGUCAGAUGUGAAAGCCCGGGGCUCAACCUCGGAACUGCAUUUGAAACUGGUGAACUAGAGUACUGUAGAGGGGGGUAGAAUUUCAGGUGUAGCGGUGAAAUGCGUAGAGAUCUGAAGGAAUACCAGUGGCGAAGGCGGCCCCCUGGACAGAUACUGACACUCAGAUGCGAAAGCGUGGGGAGCAAACAGGAUUAGAUACCCUGGUAGUCCACGCCGUAAACGAUGUCUACUUGGAGGUUGUGGCCUUGAGCCGUGGCUUUCGGAGCUAACGCGUUAAGUAGACCGCCUGGGGAGUACGGUCGCAAGAUUAAAACUCAAAUGAAUUGACGGGGGCCCGCACAAGCGGUGGAGCAUGUGGUUUAAUUCGAUGCAACGCGAAGAACCUUACCUACUCUUGACAUCCAGAGAAGCCAGCGGAGACGCAGGUGUGCCUUCGGGAGCUCUGAGACAGGUGCUGCAUGGCUGUCGUCAGCUCGUGUUGUGAAAUGUUGGGUUAAGUCCCGCAACGAGCGCAACCCUUAUCCUUGU
RNAcentral lists this ribosomal RNA (808 nucleotides) under Vibrio splendidus. Its description in RNAcentral is "bacterial SSU rRNA". It matches the Rfam family "Bacterial small subunit ribosomal RNA", at positions 314 to 1114 of the family's 1533-position model. The record is from RNAcentral. Lineage: Bacteria; Pseudomonadati; Pseudomonadota; Gammaproteobacteria; Vibrionales; Vibrionaceae.